Molecule: long non-coding RNA, 506 nt
Filed under: Struthio camelus australis
Lineage: Eukaryota; Metazoa; Chordata; Aves; Struthioniformes; Struthionidae
Description: lncRNA (ENSSCUG00000012405.1)
Source: RNAcentral
CUGAUGCAUGGUCGGUACCUGGGUGGUUAAUAUAUCACUGCCUUUGCAUAGCGAGAAGCCACCCUGUAGCGCUGCUAAAAUAGAAAGCCCUGCAGUAACGGAGGUGGGGUUUUCUCAAAUAGGUCACCAUGGGGUGAGGAAGAUAAGGGAUGGAGAGUUGUGGUUGCUGGGACAGGAGCACGGAGGUUGGAGAGCCGAGCAGAUCGUAGCAGGUGGCCACGCUUGGAGGGAAAGGGGAUUCAAGUCACGCUUGGGAUCUGGUCCCUCCUUCCCAGCCUCCUCUGCUAGCUCUGUGAAGGGCAACCGUAAAUGCACCACGAACCUCGUCUCUGCAAAAGGGUUUGGAAAUGAAAACAGCAGGCAAGGCUUUGAUUUCCCUCCCGGCCUUUGACAACACGCAUUUGCAAAACAGCAUCGUGCUACAAGGCUCUGGUGUUGUGCAGAGCAUGGGUGCUGCAUCUGAGCCUCCAGGCUCAGUGCUUUCGGGCUUUUAGUCAUCAAUAAAC